RNAcentral lists this ribosomal RNA (460 nucleotides) under uncultured bacterium. RNAcentral's name for it is "partial 16S ribosomal RNA". It matches the Rfam family "Bacterial small subunit ribosomal RNA", at positions 338 to 795 of the family's 1533-position model. The record is from RNAcentral.
CCUACGGGAGGCAGCAGUGAGGAAUAUUGGUCAAUGGACGCAAGCCUGAACCAGCCAUGCCGCGUGCAGGAUGACUGCCCUAUGAGUUGUAAACUUCUUUUGUACGAGGGUAAACCCCGAUACGUGUAUCGUGUUGAAAGUAUCGUACGAAUAAGGAUCGGCUAACUCCGUGCCAGCAGCCGCGGUAAUACGGAGGAUCCGAGCGUUAUCCGGAUUUAUUGGGUUUAAAGGGUGCGUAGGCGGUUUGAUAAGUUAGAGGUGAAAUGUCGGGGCUCAACCCCGAAACUGCCUCUAAUACUGUUGGACUAGAGAAUAGUUGCGGUAGGCGGAAUGUGUGGUGUAGCGGUGAAAUGCUUAGAGAUCAUACAGAACACCGAUUGCGAAGGCAGCUUACCAAACUAUAACUGACGUUGAGGCACGAAAGCGUGGGUAGCAAACAGGAUUAGAUACCCUAGUAGUC